Molecule: long non-coding RNA, 753 nt
Organism: Hermetia illucens (black soldier fly)
Lineage: Eukaryota; Metazoa; Arthropoda; Insecta; Diptera; Stratiomyidae
Exons: 3
Source: RefSeq, a predicted model, not a curated record
GAAAAAGUCACGUAAACAAGAAAUUGUUAGUGAUAGAUUUUGAGAGUUUGUUUGUAAUUAAUUUUAAAUUUGUAGGAGUGCUUAUUAAUAUAAUGCAUAGUCUUUAGUAACAUUAGAUCAGUCGAAGUUUAAAAUUAAUUAAACCAACAGAAAUGUAAUUCUUAUCAAUUAUGGACAUGUCUGCGCAUUUGCAUGUAUCUAAAUUUUAUACUGUGGUCGAAUACUUUCCGUUGCGUAUUCAUUCUUCUCUGGAUGUCAUUGCAAGGAAUAUGUGAUCUGUUCAGAACUAAGUAUAUGUUACAAACAUGCUAAACAGUUGGUUUGUUUGGCACAUGACUCAUAUAUUCCUCCAAGUCAAUUCGGGCGGGCCUGGGCAGAAAGUGGUGAUUAUAUUUUGACCUUUUAAUGGUGAUUGCAACUGAACUUACUUUCGAGUUCAGUCUCUGCCCCAUCCAGAAUCACGCUGUUUAGGAGUGCAACCAGUAUUUAAAAGAUCAAGGGUUAGCAAUCUUGUAGUGAUGCAUAAAUUGUAUUUGACGAAUGAUGGUAUACGGAGUGGUCAAAUCUUCUCUCUCUAAUUCGUUUUGUUCGUGCCCAAAAAAAAGAGUGAGGGAUGAUAAAUGGGAACCUGGAUAACAUUUUGGAAAUGCGGCACUUGUAAUGUUCGUGGGGAAAAAAGAAUCUAAAUCUAUAUGUAAUUUCUUGUUUUAAGGCUAGUAUGGAUAAAUAACAAGGCAUUCGAAUUCGCAAUCU